Molecule: non-coding RNA, 92 nt
Filed under: Propithecus coquereli (Coquerel's sifaka)
Lineage: Eukaryota; Metazoa; Chordata; Mammalia; Primates; Indriidae
Source: RNAcentral
GUGUUGUAUGAAAGGAGAGGAGAUUAGCACUCCGCUUGACAAGGAUGUAAGAGGCUCUCAGGCCUGUACGACAUGCAUACGGAAAUUUUUUA